AUUGCUUCUCGGCCUUUUGGCUAAGAUCAAGUGUAGUAUCUGUUCUUAUCAGUUUAAUAUCAAUCUAUUUUAGCAUUUAAAUGAAUGGUGAGCAAACAGCUAAUUCUGUUUGUGAUCCGUGCUGGGGAUCCCCAGUAAUUACCUCAGAUGCAAGGUGGGUAACAUUCCC
RNAcentral lists this small nuclear RNA (169 nucleotides) under Sarcophilus harrisii (Tasmanian devil). RNAcentral's name for it is "U2 spliceosomal RNA (ENSSHAG00000019263.2)". It matches the Rfam family "U2 spliceosomal RNA". From Rfam's summary of the family: U2 is a small nuclear RNA (snRNA) component of the spliceosome (involved in pre-mRNA splicing). Complementary binding between U2 snRNA (in an area lying towards the 5' end but 3' to hairpin I) and the branchpoint sequence (BPS) of the intron results the bulging out of an unpaired adenosine, on the BPS, which initiates a nucleophilic attack at the intronic 5' splice site, thus starting the first of two transesterification reactions that mediate splicing. Lineage: Eukaryota; Metazoa; Chordata; Mammalia; Dasyuromorphia; Dasyuridae. The record is from Rfam by way of RNAcentral.